Humulus lupulus (European hop) is the source of this 734-nucleotide RNA transcript. It is a transcript of the gene named protein NARROW LEAF 1-like, with no coding region annotated. Lineage: Eukaryota; Viridiplantae; Streptophyta; Magnoliopsida; Rosales; Cannabaceae. The transcript is spliced from 4 exons. The record is from RefSeq and is a predicted model, not a curated record.
UUUAAUUCUCUAGUCUCUACUAGUUGGCUUCUCUGGAUCUCACUCAAACUCAGCCUCUCAAUCGUUUUUCUCUCACGCUCACGCUCACCCGCUCGAUCUAUUCUCUCUCACACUCAGCCCCCUCGAUCCGUUCUCUCACUCAGCCUCUGCAAGAACUCAGCCUCUACAAGAACUCAGCUCUUGUCUUUCUCUCCAUAACGUCGAGCUGCUCUCCUUCCCACCCAGCCUCGGCAAGAACCAGGCGACCCCACUGAUGCAAGAACAAGGCCACCAUGGGGUAAACUAGGCAGACCUCCAAUUGUUUAUGAGAUUCUUCUACCACAAUGCUUAUAGAUGGUUUCCUGCAUAUGGGUUAGUUAAUAUCUUGUUCUGAAGGAGGUUGCAAGCCAAGAGACUUAUGGAACCUUGGGUGCUAUUGUUAGAAGCCGAACUGGAAAUCGACAGGUUGGUUUCCUCACUAAUCGACAUGUGGCUGUUGAUUUAGAUUAUCCAAACCAGAAAAUGUUUCAUCCUUUACCACCAAGCCUUGGACCUGGGGUAUAUUUGGGAGCUGUGGAGAGGGCAACAUCUUUUAUCACAAAUGAUCUUUGGUAUGGAAUCUUUGCUGGAACAAACGCAGAAGACAUAACGAGGAAAAUCAGAGGAAACAGAAACACAGAAAAAUAGCAAAAAGUAUAAGUGAUCUCUAAAUUAGAGGAACAACCUCAACAAAUUUUGGUACAUUACUCGAAUCU